GGAGGGGGGCGAGCGUUAUUCGGAAUUAUUGGGCGUAAAGGGCAGGUAGGCGGCUUUGUGUGUCCUUUGUGAAAGCCCUCGGGCUCAACCGAGGAAUUGCAGGGGAAACUGCGAAGCUUGAGUCCCGGGAGAGGGUAGUGGAAUUCCCAGUGUAGCGGUGAAAUGCGUAGAUAUUGGGAGGAACACCAGUGGCGAAGGCGACUACCUGGACCGGUACUGACGCUGAGCUGCGAAAGCUAGGGGAGCAAACGGGAUUAGAUACCCCGGUAGUCCUGGCUGUAAACGAUGAGCACUUGGUGUGGCGGGUAUCGACCCCUGCUGUGCCGAAGCUAACGCAUUAAGUGCUCCGCCUGGGGAGUACGGUCGCAAAGGCUG
This 375-nucleotide ribosomal RNA is filed under the name uncultured organism. RNAcentral describes it as "partial 16S ribosomal RNA". It matches the Rfam family "Bacterial small subunit ribosomal RNA", at positions 526 to 896 of the family's 1533-position model. The record is from RNAcentral.